This is an RNA transcript of Malus domestica (apple), 1852 nucleotides long. It is a transcript of the gene named serine--tRNA ligase-like, with no coding region annotated. The record is from RefSeq and is a predicted model, not a curated record. Lineage: Eukaryota; Viridiplantae; Streptophyta; Magnoliopsida; Rosales; Rosaceae.
UUCAGUGACUGUUAGCCUGCGUUGUUCUUCUGCAAAGCUUCCAACUUUUUCCGAUUCCAAAAUUUCCAUCCGCAGUCGCACACUCGCAAUCGGAGGAAGAGAAAGAUGCUGGACAUCAAUCUGUUCAGAGAGGAGAAGGGCAACAACCCCGAAAUCAUCCGGGAAUCUCAACGACGCCGGUUCAAAGACGUUGAGAUCGUCGACGAGGUCAUCCAGCUCGACAUAGAAUGGCGCCAGCGUCAAUUCGAGCUCGAGAGCCUUCGGAAAGAGUUCAACAAGAUCAACAAGCGAGUUGCUCAGCUCAGGAUUGCGGGAGAGGAUGCAACUGAGGUGAUAAAGGACACAGAGGACAAUAAAAGGUUGGCGGCAGAGAAAGAAGUUGAAGUGCGAGAAGCUUUAACACAGUUGAAUUCAAAAUUGGAAAUCGUUGGAAACCUUGUGCAUGAUUCGGUUCCCAUCAGCAAAGAUGAGGAGAAUAAUGCUGUGGUUAGAUCAUGGGGUGACAAACGAGUGGAGCCAAAACUAAAAAACCAUGUUGAGCUUGUUGAGCUUCUUGGGAUCGCAGACUUGAAGAAAGGCGCUGAAGUGGCUGGAGGUAGAGGUUUUUACCUGAAAGGUGCUGGUGUACGCCUUAAUCAAGCUCUAAUAAACUUCGGUCUUGAUUUUCUUGAGAAAAGAGGAUAUACAGAACUGCAGACCCCAUUUUUCAUGAGAAAAGAUAUCAUGGGGAAGUGCGCUCAAUUAGCCCAAUUUGAUGAGGAACUUUACAAGGUUACUGGUGAAGGUGAUGACAAAUAUCUGAUUGCUACAGCUGAACAGCCACUUUGUGCAUAUCAUCUAGAUGAUUGGAUUCAUCCAUCCCAGCUACCCUUAAGAUAUGCUGGAUACUCAUCCUGCUUCCGUAAAGAAGCUGGUUCACAUGGUCGAGAUACCUUGGGAAUUUUUAGGGUUCAUCAGUUCGAGAAAGUUGAACAAUUCUGUAUUACAAGCCCAAAUGGCAAUGACUCUUGGGAAAUGCAUGAGGAAAUGAUCAAAAACUCAGAGGAAUUUUAUCAAGCGUUAGGGCUCCCCUAUCAUAUUGUGUCCAUCGUUUCUGGUGCUUUGAAUGAUGCCGCAGCAAAGAAGUAUGAUCUGGAAGGAUGGUUUCCUGCAUCUCAGACAUACAGAGAGCUGGUUUCUUGUUCAAACUGUACGGACUACCAGUCAAGAAAGUUAGAAAUUCGAUAUGGGCAGAAAAAGAGCAACGAGCAGACAAAGCAAUAUGUUCACUUAUUGAACUCGACUCUUACAGCGACUGAGAGAACUGUAUGCUGCAUUCUCGAGAACUACCAGACUGAAGAGGGUGUAAACGUACCGAAAGUUCUUCAACCCUUCAUGGGUGGAAAGGAGUUCUUACCAUUCAAGGCCAAACCAGCCCCUGAAGUCAAAGGGAAGAAAUCGAAGGCCUAAAAUUCUUAUAUCUGAUGAGGAGUAUGCUUGCGCCGCAAGAAACCUUAAUUACGGUUCGCCAUCGCCACCAUGAUCAUUUGAAACAAGGUCGUCAGGAAUUCACAUCAACGUCGAUUCUCAAAGCGUUUGAAAAGCCGUUCUUCAACUUCGUCCGGGGAUUCGGUUUGAAAAAACUGACGAUGAUGUUGAAAUGAAGAAAUCAAAUUUCUUUCCCAAUCGCUUUUCCUAUAAGCUGCUUUCAGUUUGCACCCGCAUUGGAAAUUUUGCGUUGUACAGGAUAAAUCGUGACAGCCUUUUGGAGCUUCAUUUCUUUUUUAUUAUUUUUUUAAUUUUAUUUUUUAAAAUGAAAGUAUGAGUAGGAACUCGUACUUAAAAUUUCUUAAAAUUGUUCGUUGUCAAUUUA